UCUCUGACCCAGCUGCAGUUUGUUAGGUUAGGCUGCGAAGGAAAGGCAAUUCAUAUGCAAAGGCCGAUGCACACAGCUUGGAUGGGGUUGUAAAUUGGGUGGGGUGGGGUCUCAGGGAGUCACCAGGGCAGAGCAAAUAGUGAUGGCUGUCAGUCAGCUCUGAGAACAGGAGGCC
Molecule: long non-coding RNA, 175 nt
Organism: Myotis brandtii (Brandt's bat)
Lineage: Eukaryota; Metazoa; Chordata; Mammalia; Chiroptera; Vespertilionidae
Exons: 3
Source: RefSeq, a predicted model, not a curated record